Drosophila miranda is the source of this 884-nucleotide long non-coding RNA. RefSeq lists it as uncharacterized. The record is from RefSeq and is a predicted model, not a curated record. Lineage: Eukaryota; Metazoa; Arthropoda; Insecta; Diptera; Drosophilidae. The transcript has 2 exons.
AGUGCCGCCGAGUAAAGACAGAGGAUCGAAGAUCUCACUGGGCCCAGCCGCCACCGCCUUGUGCGGCGGCCCAGCCAAGGCCAAGCUCUCGCUCUUCUUAAUUAAAGUCAAUUAAUUCCAUUCAAAGUGAACCGAUAAAAGUGCUAUACAAUUUCCCGGAAUCUGCUCUACAAAAUUCUCUACAGGAUCUUCAAAAGUGUUCAAAUCCCUCAACAGACCGACCGAUAAACCAAGAAGUUAAAGAAUCUUAGACCGAUAAAGAUACUAUUGAUCAAACUCAAAAGGUUGUCAGUCGCAAUGGCAAAUUCCACAAUAUUUCACACCCAAUAACAGGAGAGGGUUCGAUUUAACCACUAUACAGACCAUUCAGGAAAUGUGGAAAUGCUCUACCAAUCUAUCUAAAACUCAGAUGAAUCACGGAGUCAAAGCAGAACGUGCAACAAAUAUGUGAACGAAUACGACUCUCGGCUUCUAGAACAAGUUCGCUUCUCAGAACUGAAAUUCAUUUCCUAAUUUUCUAGGAAGAAGAAAACUCUUCCAAUCAUUUUCCAAAGUUUUUCUUUGGUCAUCAGAAAAUAGUACGUUAGUUAAAAAUCCUAAUGAUUUAUCAGUUGGGCAAUAAUCAACAUCAAAGCAGAAUUUGUAUGAAUCAGAUAUAGGCAAUUCUUAGCCCACUCAAUCAUUGGAUAUCCAUCCUUAGUCUACAAGAAAAAAUAAGUUGACGAUCUACAAAACCACAGCAGUUAUCCAAAAAUUCUUCCAAAAUUAUGACUUUAGCUUAUAAUUCCAAAACUACAUAACAUUUUAGUUGAUCAUAUUUUGUGCCUUUUUAGUUUUGAAUUUCUUAUAAUUUUUGUUGAUGUUUUCGUUAUACAUUUUUGAAA